GACGAACGCUGGCGGCGUGCCUAAUACAUGCAAGUAGAACGCUGAAGAGAGGAGCUUGCUCUUCUUGGAUGAGUUGCGAACGGGUGAGUAACGCGUAGGUAACCUGCCUUGCAGCGGGGGAUAACUAUUGGAAACGAUAGCUAAUACCGCAUAACAAUGGAUGACACAUGUCAUUUAUUUGAAAGGGGCAAUUGCUCCACUACAAGAUGGACCUGCGUUGUAUUAGCUAGUAGGUGAGGUAAUGGCUCACCUAGGCGACGAUACAUAGCCGACCUGAGAGGGUGAUCGGCCACACUGGGACUGAGACACGGCCCAGACUCCUACGGGAGGCAGCAGUAGGGAAUCUUCGGCAAUGGGGGCAACCCUGACCGAGCAACGCCGCGUGAGUGAAGAAGGUUUUCGGAUCGUAAAGCUCUGUUGUAAGUCAAGAACGGGUGUGAGAGUGGAAAGUUCACACUGUGACGGUAGCUUACCAGAAAGGGACGGCUAACUACGUG
RNAcentral lists this ribosomal RNA (497 nucleotides) under uncultured bacterium. RNAcentral describes it as "partial 16S ribosomal RNA". It matches the Rfam family "Bacterial small subunit ribosomal RNA", at positions 28 to 507 of the family's 1533-position model. The record is from RNAcentral.